UUUUGAAUGACAAUCCCAUUAUUUUUUCGCUUCUUAGGACCUGGGAAGUUGUUGGAAUGCUUUUGGCUAUAAUGCUAAUCAUCUGUAUUGUUCCCCGCAUAAUAGGCUAAUAAAUCAAUUUGUUUAUACUAUUAGGAUCUUAUUUUAUUUCACUUUAUUUUCCUUUUAAUGCACUUAUAUGGAACGGUAGCUUGAAUACCCAUUACUUUGUUUAUUAGUGGGAUUUGGGUCAUUAAUGUCCUUCAUUUUUUUUAGUUCGACCCAGUUUAUUUUGCCAUAUAUUAUUAUAAGAGUUGAAUUGACAAAUUGUCUUGGAUGUAUUAUUACUCUUAUCAUUUCCGGGCACUAAUUCUUAUUUUCCUUUCUUGCAUGUGAAAUCUGUCCGAGUUCAUCACGAACUCCUAUUUCCUUAUCCCGCAUUUCGUGAGAGCCAUAAAGGCCCAAACUCCUUUAUUCGAGUCAUCCGGCCUAUAAAAAUCGACGAACAGGUCCAGAAGUCGAAAGGAGCAACAAAAUCGAGAAAAUUGAGAAAUUUGGGCCAAAGGCCCAUUCUUAAUUCAAUUUGUAUUUUGUUAUUCUGGGCCUGAGCCCACUUAUUUGCUAUUAUUUGUUUAUCUUUUAGGACAGGUGGCGAAAAUUGGGCCAAGGCCCAAAACGAAAUUAGGCCCAAGUGUUGGUCCAGGCGGACAGAAAAACCAAACUUGGGCCCGAGUCUCUCUCCCUCUUUGUUUUUAUUAUUAUGUUUAUUUACUUG
Molecule: long non-coding RNA, 754 nt
Filed under: Solanum tuberosum (potato)
Lineage: Eukaryota; Viridiplantae; Streptophyta; Magnoliopsida; Solanales; Solanaceae
Description: long non-coding RNA (STUB_LNC005443)
Source: RNAcentral